RNAcentral lists this ribosomal RNA (253 nucleotides) under uncultured bacterium. RNAcentral describes it as "partial 16S ribosomal RNA". It matches the Rfam family "Bacterial small subunit ribosomal RNA", at positions 524 to 776 of the family's 1533-position model. The record is from RNAcentral.
UACGUAGGGUGCGAGCGUUAAUCGGAAUUACUGGGCGUAAAGCGUGCGCAGGCGGAUAUAUAAGUUAGAUGUGAAAUCCCUGAGCUUAACUUGGGAAUGGCAUUUAAGACUGUAUGUCUAGAGUUUGUCAGAGGGAGGUAGAAUUCCAAGUGUAGCAGUGAAAUGCGUAGAUAUUUGGAGGAAUACCAGUGGCGUAGGCGGCCUCCUGGGAUAAAACUGACGCUCAGGCACGAAAGCGUGGGUAGCAAACAGG